ACGAACGCUGGCGGCGUGCUUUAUACAUGCAAGUCGAACGAUGAAGUUCCUUCGGGAAUGGAUUAGUGGCGAACGGGUGAGGAACACGUGAGAAACCUGCCUUUCAUUCUGGGAUAACACCGGGAAACCGGUGCUAAUACCGGAUACUCCGUCUUGGCGGCAUCGCCGAGCCGGGAAAAAAUUUUGAUGAAAGAUGGUCUCGCGGCCUAUCAGCUAGUUGGUGAGGUAAAGGCUCACCAAGGCGACGACGGGUAGCCGGCCUGAGAGGGCGACCGGCCACACUGGGACUGAGACACGGCCCAGACUCCUACGGGAGGCAGCAGUAGGGAAUAUUGGGCAAUGGGCGCAAGCCUGACCCAGCGACGCCGCGUGAGGGAUGAAGGUCUUCGGAUUGUAAACCUCUUUCAGUAGGGAAGAAGCGAAAGUGACGGUACCUAAAGAAGAAGCACCGGCUAACUAUGUGCCAGCAGCCGCGGUAAUACAUAGGGUGCAAGCGUUGUCCGGAAUUAUUGGGCGUAAAGAGCUCGUAGGUUGUUUGUCGCGUCGAUUGUGAAAAUCUGAGGCUCAACCUCAGACCUGCAGUCGAUACGGGCAGACUAGAGUGUGGUAGGGGAGACUGGAAUUCCCCCUCUAGCGGUGGAAUGCGCAGAUAUCAGGAGGAACACCAAUGGCGAAGGCAGGUCUCUGGGCCAUAACUGACACUGAGGAGCGAAAGUGCGGGGAGCGAACAGGAUUAGAUACCCUGGUAGUCCGCACCGUAAACGGUGGGCACUAGUUGUGGGAACCUUCCACGGUUUCCGCGACGCAGCACACCCAUUCAGUGCCCCGCCUGGGGAGUACG
This 841-nucleotide ribosomal RNA is filed under the name uncultured Micrococcineae bacterium. Its description in RNAcentral is "bacterial SSU rRNA". It matches the Rfam family "Bacterial small subunit ribosomal RNA", at positions 29 to 884 of the family's 1533-position model. The record is from RNAcentral. Lineage: Bacteria; Bacillati; Actinomycetota; Actinomycetes; Micrococcales.